GGUCUGCUAGAGUUGCUCUGAUGAUGAUAUUGCCCCUGUCACCACCCCAGCCCCAACUCCUCUCCCCCCGAUAACCCUUGCCCCUCAUCCCCAUCCAUUCCAUCCCCUUCUUCCCAACCUCAUCUACCACAGCCGCCAUGGGUGGAUGAAAAGGGAAAGAAAUAACACACAGACAAGAAAUUGAAGAUCUGGGAAAAGGAACAAAGCAAGUUGCAGGAGAGAAAAGAAUGUCGGGCAGUGGUGCCUCUUACCAGGGUGAGUUUUCUGAAUCUUCCUCUCAAGAUCCUUCUGUGUGAUUUGCUUCUUCUGAACCCCAUCCGAAAAUCAGCAUGCUUUUGCUUGCUUCUUUCUUGAUGGGACAAAGAAUUUGGCGGUUGGUCUGUGACAAAAAAUUGAUAGUUAAUAGCAUCUAGAUCAGAGCGUGGGCAGUUGUGUUGUGGCAAAAAUAAAGAGAGACAAAAAAAACUCAUAUCUAGUUCCAGUGUGUGGCAGGUUUUUAGCUAGAUUUUAGAAGUGGUAGCUGUAGCAGAGAUUGAAAGAUCUAGAUAAAUUGACUGAACAAAUCAUUCAGUUUUCUGAAUCUUUUACAUACAGUGUAUGUGCAGUUAGAUACAGUAUGCAGUAAGUGAGAACAAAAGGGGGACAAAAACUUUAGUUAUUCAUAUAUAUUCCUCCCAUUAUUGCGUUAUAUGAUGGACAAAAAGUAUCACAAACAUGAUGUUGAGCUGGUAUGAAAAGCAUCUUGCCUGAUUACCACAGAAAGCUGCAAAUGGUUCUCAACACUACUUCUGUAUGACAAACUAAGCAGCAGUGCCUAGAGAACUAGAGAAGAUAUUGGGUAUCAUAAUUUUGACACUAAAAAAUGGCUGCAGGACAUGAAGAUAACUUUGCGGGGGAGUACAUUGGUAAACAGGCAAGUGUUUUCUCCCUCUUUUUUGACUCCUACUUCCAUAAUUGAAAUGAACAAACAAAAGUGCAGACAAAAAAGAAACUUACAAUGUAUUUAUAUUUGCAGCCUGGACAAUCCCAAUAUCCUGGAGCAUUGUUUGACCCCAGUCUCUUUGGAAUGCAAAACAAUGGAGCGAGUUUUGUGCCGAUGUUUUACCCCAACUCAUUUCCUCCUCAGGUCCUUGAGUUGCCUGUCUCAUGACCAAAAAAUACAAAGCUUAUUGUAACUGUUCCUGCAAAUAUGUACUUGAAUGAAUGAACGACAUAUGUGAGUUGCCGAGACAGGUUAUAUAUACUUGAAUGAAUGAAUGAACGACAUAUGUGUAUAGGUAUGUAUGUGUGAGAUGCUGCAUGAGUAAGGUUUCCAAUAACAUGAGCUGACUCGAAAGCGGGACCCAUGAAGAUUGAAAACAAGUCCACUUGACAAAUGUGCAUGAGCAGCACUGAGCACUAGACACUAGUAUUCCCUGUCUGAAGAUACUACAACAUCAAGCAAGUUCUUG
RNAcentral lists this long non-coding RNA (1451 nucleotides) under Triticum aestivum (bread wheat). RNAcentral's name for it is "long non-coding RNA (TAES_LNC026113)". The record is from RNAcentral. Lineage: Eukaryota; Viridiplantae; Streptophyta; Magnoliopsida; Poales; Poaceae.